This is a long non-coding RNA of Bactrocera dorsalis (oriental fruit fly), 1342 nucleotides long. RefSeq lists it as uncharacterized. The record is from RefSeq and is a predicted model, not a curated record. Lineage: Eukaryota; Metazoa; Arthropoda; Insecta; Diptera; Tephritidae. The transcript has 2 exons.
UCUCUGAUUUUACUGAACCGAUUUACCUGAACAUUUUACAGACUUUUUUAAAAACUUUCUAUGUCUGGAAAAUUUCCAAAAUUUAAAUUUUUACAAUUUUUAAAAAAUUCUAAAAACCCAAAAAAGUGGUUCAAAAUAUUUUUCGGACUAUUUUGUAAAAAAAUCCGACUUUUCCGCAGAAUUAAGACAUUACGACAUUAUUCUAGAUUAAUGAUUUUUUUGUGUUCAGAUUGCUGGGAUGACAAUUAUUUUACGACACUUCGAAAAUUACCUGAAAAUGCAUACCUUUAGACUAGAAUACUCUCUUAAGCAUAAAUUCGUAGUUUCUACCAGGAGCAAAUAACGCGGUAGAGGGGGUAUCAGCGACUAUUUUCAUCGAAUAACUUCUCUAUUCAUGGACCGAUCGUGAUCGUUGACGGCUCUAUCAAAAGGUAAACGCUUGGUACAAGUAUCAUAUGUAUAACAUGAAGCGAUUUGGUUAUUUGGUUCUUUUAUAUUCAAAGAAUAAAAUGAAAAUGAGAACACUUGGUACAAGUACCCUUUAAUUUUGGGGCCGAACCGGUUACUCAUUUGAUUAUUUUUACUAUUUUCUUUGUAGUAGCCUCUGAACAGUAUUCCAAUUGAACUGCAGCGAUUGUUAAAUUUAGUUAAAUCAACUGUUUAUUUUACUGCGUUGUAGGUAGACAAAACUUAUGUACUAUAUAUCAUUAUUAUACUGCAAUCAUUGUAGUCACCAGAUAAAUGGGAUGUUAUUCAAUUUUAAUAAAAGUACAGUUAAUAAUGGCGCAGCUGUUUUGAUUAUUCGGAGUUCCCAAUUCAGUAGUUGAGGCAACUUACUUCCUUAAAUGAUCCAUAUUCUAUACUUUUAGUAGACAGUUCGCUGUUGGACAUUGGAUUUACGGUCGUCGCUCACAUCUACAGAGAUAAAAUGCAUAAUAUUAAAUUUUUACUGGCUCUACUGUGUGUUUUGGGCAUAACUGCAGUUAUAGCUCAACCUGGCUGCCAGCCGCGCAUAUAUAGCGUUUCGGCUGGUCAAAGAAUUUGUGAACGCCAAUGUCUUACGGGACCAGGGUCCACCGCUAGUUUGCGUUGCGCCACAGCGCGUAUUCCGACCACUGUUAGACUCUGUCCGCCGAAUUGCUGUCGUCUGGGUUCGGCCUGUCGGUGGGUUUAUCAAACUUGAAUGAGUUCAGCGGGAGCAAUGAUGAUAAAAGAAUUAAAUUUUGACGUUUUUAUUGCGCAAAUGAUAUCCUUAUUCAUUCUAAAAAUUCAUUUUAUAUCCUUUAAAUAUAAUCUGUUGAGUUUUUCUUGAAAUAAAUAUUCCUUCAAAAUCGUUAUCCCA